RNAcentral lists this microRNA precursor (103 nucleotides) under Marmota monax (woodchuck). The record is from RNAcentral. Lineage: Eukaryota; Metazoa; Chordata; Mammalia; Rodentia; Sciuridae.
AGAGGAAUAGCUGGGUCAAAUGAUGGCUCCAUUCCCAGAUUUCCAAGGAAUCUCCAUACUGCUUUCCAAAUUGGCUGCACCAAUUUGCAGUACCACCAGCAAU